This 254-nucleotide ribosomal RNA is filed under the name uncultured prokaryote. RNAcentral's name for it is "partial 16S ribosomal RNA". It matches the Rfam family "Bacterial small subunit ribosomal RNA", at positions 524 to 776 of the family's 1533-position model. The record is from RNAcentral.
UGCAUGGGGUGCAAACGUUGCUCGGAAUUAUUGGGCGUAAAGCGCACGUAGGCGGUUUGUUAAGUCGGAUGUGAAAUCCCUCGGCUCAACUGAGGAAGUGCAUCCGAAACUGGCAAGCUUGAGUACGAAAGAGGGUCGCGGAAUUCCCGGUGUAGAGGUGAAAUUCGUAGAUAUCAAGAGGAACACCUGAGGUGAAGACGGGUUGCUGGGCUGACACUGACGCUGACAGCGCGAAAGCUAGGGGAGCAAACGGG